GAUGAAGAACGCAGCGAAAUGCGAUAAGUAAUGCGAAUUGCAGAAUUUCCGUGAGUCAUCGAAUCUUUGAACGCACAUUGCGCCCACUGGUAUUCCGGUGGGCAUGCCUGUUCGAGCGUCAUUAAAAUCACUCAAGCUUAGGUUUACCUAUUGCUUGGUCUUGGAGAUGGAAGCCAAUUUAUUGGAAUCCUCUUCGAAAUUCAAUGGCGAAGACCCUUGCUCUCCCAAGUGUAGUAAUAACUUAUGUCACUGAAGGAAGCGAGAAAUCUUCUGCCGUAACCCCCAUAUUUUCUAUGAUUGACCUCGGAUCAGGUAGGGAUACCCGCUGAACUUAAGCAUAUCAAUAAGCGGAGGA
RNAcentral lists this unclassified non-coding RNA (355 nucleotides) under soil metagenome. RNAcentral's name for it is "partial contains 5.8S ribosomal RNA, internal transcribed spacer 2, and large subunit ribosomal RNA". The stretch from base 1 to 121 matches the Rfam family "5.8S ribosomal RNA", at positions 35 to 154 of the family's 154-position model. The record is from RNAcentral.